GAGUUUGAUCGUGGCUCAGAUUGAACGCUGGCGGCAUGCCUUACACAUGCAAGUCGAACGGCAGCAUGAUCUAGCCUGCUAGAUUGAUGGCGAGUGGCGAACGGGUGAGUAAUACAUCGGAACGUGCCCUGUAGUGGGGGAUAACUAGUCGAAAGAUUAGCUAAUACCGCAUACGACCUGAGGGUGAAAGUGGGGGACCGCAAGGCCUCAUGCUAUAGGAGCGGCCGAUGUCUGAUUAGCUAGUUGGUGGGGUAAAGGCCCACCAAGGCGACGAUCAGUAGCUGGUCUGAGAGGACGAUCAGCCACACUGGGACUGAGACACGGCCCAGACUCCUACGGGAGGCAGCAGUGGGGAAUUUUGGACAAUGGGCGAAAGCCUGAUCCAGCAAUGCCGCGUGUGUGAAGAAGGCCUC
This 413-nucleotide ribosomal RNA is filed under the name uncultured microorganism. RNAcentral describes it as "bacterial SSU rRNA". It matches the Rfam family "Bacterial small subunit ribosomal RNA", at positions 9 to 418 of the family's 1533-position model. The record is from RNAcentral.